UACGUAGGCAGCGAGCGUUGUUCGGAGUUACUGGGCGUAAAGCGUGCGUAGGCGGUGCCUUACGUUUGUUGUGAAAUCUCCCGGCUUAACCGGGAGGGUGCGGCGAAUACUGAGAUGCUGGAGUGCCGGAGAGGUAAGCGGAAUUCCUGGUGUAGCGGUGAAAUGCGUAGAUAUCAGGAGGAACACCUGCGGUGUAGACGGCUUACUGGACGGUAACUGACGCUGAGGCACGAAAGCGUGGGUAGCAAACAGG
This 253-nucleotide ribosomal RNA is filed under the name uncultured bacterium. RNAcentral describes it as "partial 16S ribosomal RNA". It matches the Rfam family "Bacterial small subunit ribosomal RNA", at positions 524 to 776 of the family's 1533-position model. The record is from RNAcentral.